GUGUGCCACCUGUCUUUCCUUAACCCUAAGCCUGUUUCUGACGUUUCAUUGAAUAUGUGUGAUAAUGUUGGUUCUGUGGGAGUAACACUUUUCCAUGUCACCUCUCUGUUUCCACCUUCUGCCUGUGUUGGCUAGCCCAGAAUUGGCUAUGUAGGCCAAGCUGGUCUUGAAUUUGUGGUGGAGGGGCGGCUUGUAGAAUUGCUUAAGCUGGUCUUGAACUCUCCAUCCUCUCUCCCCAGUGGCAGGGGUUGCAGAUCUGUGCUGCCAAGUUUGCAUUCAUCGGUGCUUGGGUUGCCUGCUUCACGUGUUUAGCCCCAGGCUGCUAUUCUCUGCCCUGUGCCUUCUGAAAUCCUACCCCUUUCAGGGACAGAGAUAGUUUAGCCAUGGCUGCUCAUACAGAGGACCCAGGGCACCCACGGGGUAGCUCACAACUGUCUUUUAACUCUAGUUCCAGCAGAUCCAGGGUCCUCUUCUGGCCUCUGUAGGCAGUAGACACAUAAGCAAUAGACAUACAUGCAGCCAAGAUACCUGCACACACAAAAUAAUAGAAAAUUAAAAUUUUUUUCUUACUCUAAUUUCUCUUUAUAAUCAACUAAUACAUGUUUUAAUUCCCAUAACAUAUUUUGAUACCAAGUGAAAUAUAAUUAACUUAGUAUUUAGUCCUCCAAAAUUACAAUUAGGCUAAUUAUAAAAGCUAACAACAUUUUUUAAAUCAGUGAUUAGGCACCAGGGACUCUUGUAGCCAUUUAUACAUCUGUGUCACUAAUGAAUUUAAUUUCAGCACAACACUGUAAAACUACUAGGUAAUACUAUUCACUCCACUUAGAAAUGAGAAAACAUAAAGAGCCUCUAUAACAUAAAUCUUUUCUCAGUGGUGUGAGGGCCAAGAUUGAUUGAUUGAUUGACUGGGUGGUUGAUUCAGAGCCAGGGUUUAGAUGUAGACAGUCUGGCUCCAUAGGGGAGACUCCUUCAGGAUCACACCCAGGUCCUCAGGCACAGUAGGUGAAUGCCGUAUCGUGGAGCUCCGUCUUCAGCUAAAGCAGUCUACAGUCUUCAGGUCUUUUGAGACAAGUCCUUAGUAUGUAACCACGACAUGCCUGGAAUCACCACAUGAAAGUAUUUAACACAGCAACAUAGAAGAUAUGAAGAACUACAACAAACUGGGAGGAAAGUUAUGAUCACUUGCAUGAACAUGUUACCAUCUCCAAAGACAGCCUCUACAGAGUCUUACAGAGUCAGGACAAGAGGGGCCUUGCUACUUUUUUGUUUCUGUGUUUCUGUGUAGAGCUCUGUUUUCUGGAAUUUACUCUGUAGACCAGGCUGGCCUCGAAUUCACAGAGAUCUGCCUGGGAUUAAAGGCCUGUGACACCGUCACCUGGCUGAGCCUUGCUACUUUUUCAACUGGCCUAAGCCAAGUAUAUCACCCAGAAAGAAGAAGGAUAGUGUAAGAGGUCUCCCUUGUCACUGGGUUCUCUUGCUGCUGCUGUCUUAUCGAUGAGGAAACUGAGUUACUUAAGCCCUACAUCUAGAUAAUAAAGGGACUGAAAUUUGCAUUAGACUGAGUCCAGAGGUUGAACUCUUAGACCAUCCAUCCCAACUCUCUUUACCCACAGGCCCAGGCUAGCUUUUUCUCUUUUGUUAGGUUCAGAGGCCAGGCUGCCUCUCUUCCCUAGCACACAUGGGAGGUAGUGUCUAUGUCUGCCUUCACAGCCUUCCAAAUGGGUUAGCAGAAACCUUGGGAAUAGACUUAGUCUUGCCUGAGUGAGGACCUUGCUGUACGGUAUUUACAGUGGAGAUAGAAUGAUGAAAACAGAUGAGGAAGGAAAGAGACUGUGCUGUGUGCUUUUUUCUAUUGGGUUUUAGAGACAGACCUCACUCUGUGGCUAACACUGACCUAGAACUCAUUGUAAUCAAGGCUGACCCACAUCCUCUGGAGCUGGAGUUCCGGUGGUUGUGAACCAUCUGAUCAGGGUGCUGGGAACCUACCUCAGUUUCUCUGGAAGAGCAGGAAGUGCUCCAGACAACUCGGUGACAGUGCAAUGGUCUUGUAGGUAAAGGCACCUGCUCCAACCCUGAUAAUGACCUGAGUUUAUUCCCCGGAACCCAGGGGGAAGGAGAGAACCAGCUCCACAGUUGCCCUCUGACCUCCAUACUCAUGACAUAGUAAAAUGUGCACAUUCCUCCUCAUACACUGUCUCAGCCAGGGUUACUAUGUAAUGAAACACCAUGACCAAAAGCACUUGGAGAGGAAAGGGUUAUUCCGCUUAUAUAUCCUGAAUCCAAAGCAGGAUUUGAGAGAAGUCAAACAGGAACUCAAAACCAGGCAGGAACUGAUGCAGAGGCCAUGGAGGAGUGCUUGCUCCUUAGGACUUGUUCAGCCUGCUCUCUUAUAGCACCUGCUCCACCAGACCAAGGUCGUACCACCCACAAAAUGCUGGGCCCUCCCAGGUUAAUUAAUAAAUAAUUGAGAAAAUGUGUAACAUGUAGUGGCACACACCUUUAUUUCCAGUAUCCAGGAGGCCAGCCUGGUCUAUAUAAUUAGUUCCAGGACAGCCAGAGCUAUAGAGAGACCCUUUUUCCAAAAAAAAAAAUUAAAAAAAAAUUCUGUGUGUGUGUGUGUGUGUGUGUGCAUGUGUGUGUGCAUGUUCGUGUAUGCACACAUGCACAUGUGGAGGCUAGAAGAGGCAGUUGGAUCCCCUAGAGCUGGCAUUGCAGGCAGUUGUGAGCCAUCUGAUGUGGGUGGUGGGAACUGAGCUGUGCUUUUCUCAGACAGCAGCAAGCACUCUUAAGCAUUGAACCAUCUCCCCAGGUCCGCUCCCCACCACGAGGACUUCUCGUUACCUCUUAAGUAUAGCUCAGCAAUGUUGGCUAUCCAGGUGGUGAAGUAAAAGCCAGUCUGGUGACCCCAUUCCUCUCCAUGGUGUUGUGCUAUUUUUAUUUUUGUUCCUACUGUGUCUCCUCCUAGCAUCUUUCUUUCUUCCUCAUAGCUUGUUGAGAAUAGAGACAGACAUUUCUUCUUGCUCAGGGACAGGAGGAGAGGAGGAGCCCCCUUUGGUAAUCCUUUGGUGACAUACAAUUGAUUGUACGGCCAUUUUCACCCAUGGUUUCUCCCUGCCUCCCAUUCACUAGCGGAAACAGGAUGAGAACCAUUGUUUGCGCCAAACUGCUUGCCAUUCAAGCGUGAGGAGCUGAGUUUGGCUCCCCCAGCUUCCACAGGAAAAGCUGGGCAUGGUGGUGCGCAUCUAUAAUCUUAACAGGAGGCAAGUGGAGACAGGGAAAUGCCUGGAGCUCACUGACUAGUCCAUCUUUCCAAAUGGUGUGCCCCAGACCCAAUGAGAAAGCCUGUUUCAAAAAAUUAAAGUGAAGAACAGUAGGGGAGAUGCCACACAUGUGUACACUGACAUGACACGUACAUGCACAAUACCACACACAUGCACAAACUAAAAACAAAGUGAAAUGUGGGAUAUAUAUAUAUAUAUAUUUUUUUUUUUUGUUGUUGUUGUUGUUGUUGUUGUUGUUGUUGUUGUUCUUUUUUUCGGAGCUGGGGACCGAACCCAGGGCCUUGCGCUUCCUAGGCAAGCGCUCUACCACUGAGCUAAAUCCCCAACCCCUAUAUAUUUUUAUUUACACACACACACACACACACACACAGAUUUGGAUGCUGAGAAUUGUACUCAGCCCCCUGCCCCAUGCUGGGUGCAUUUCCUACCACUGAGCUACACUUUGAGUCUAAAAACAUAAAAACUAUGUCAUGGGAGUUCAUGGUUUUGACACAUAUAAACCAUGUAGUGCUUACACAGCUCCAUUUCACAUGCUUAUUAAUCUUUUAUGGUCAAAACACCCUAUAUCCUUUCUUUUAGCUUUCUGAGAAGUGCCGUGCACUCUUGUUAUUUCUAGACAGCCAUGAUUCAGUUGCACCCCAGUGUUUCUUGAGCUUAGUUUCCAUUGAUCAGCUUCUCCCCGUUUUGCCCUUCUGCUCUCUAUGGCCCUGCUUAACCUCAGGCUCGCCCCCAUUUCUGUGAGCGUACCAAAAGUCCUUUUCUUUUGUUUGCUUUAUUUUUGCUCUUUUUUUUUUUUUCAUUUUCUUUUUUUUCGGAGCUGGGGACCGAACCCAGUACCUUGUGCUUGCUAGGCAAGCGCUCUACCGCUGAGCUACAUCCCCAGCCCCUUUAUUUUUGCUCUUAUCUGGUUUUAUUUUAUGUGUAUGGUGUUUUGCCAGCAUGUAUGUGCACCACUGGUUUGUCUAGCUGGAGGCCAGAAAAGGGCAGGCCUCAGAGUCCCUGGAACCUCAGUUACAGAUGGUUGGGGCUUCCAUGUGGGUGCUGGGACUCAAACCUGCAUCCUUUGGAAGAGCAGCUAGUGCUCUCAACUGGCCGAGGCCUCUGUCUGGCCCUCGUCUUAGUUUUUUGAAACAGGGUCUCAUAUACUCCAGACUUGAACUUGUUGUGUUUCUGAGGAUGACCUUGGACCUCAGCUCCUCCUGCCUGUCCCGCUGUAUGGCCCUAUGGGGUUGCAGCUGGAUGCUACCAUAGCAAGGCUUACAUGCAGGGGCUAGAGAACCCUGGCUCUGUGAGUCUAGGCAGACACGACCAAAUGAACCACACCCCUAGCCCAAAAGGUUGUGAAGAGGCUGUUUCUGAGGUUGAAAGAUGACGUAGAUUCUCCCUUGGAGCAAUAAUGGGCGAGCAUGAGGAUUUUCUAGAAAGGCUACCCACAAAUGCCUUCAGUAGAAGAGACUGCUCUUUCCUAGGCCCACACCUGGGAUCUGUCAGACAUCUGGGCCUCAGCUGCCAAGCGCUGGUUAGAAGCCUGCAGCGCUGGCCUUUUCCUUUGUGGCCAGGCACGUAUGCAUGGAGUGGAGAAAUGUGUGAGGCUGUGGACGAGCCUUCAGUGCCUUUCUCUGAGCAUUUCUGUGGCUCCUGGGACCUCUAGAAGCCCUCCCUGGACAAAAAGUUCCAGAGGCCAGAGAAAGGCCUUUGAAGCUACCUAGCUGUAGAGUGUGUUCAUGAACCAAGGCCGACUUCCUGGUGCGAUUCUGUGAGGCAGUCAUCUGUAGAAUUACUGGACUGGUUCCAAAGACUGGCUUCAUGUGGAAUUGCUGCAAAUGUUGGCCCUACCCAUAGGACCACACUUCACCACUAGGGGAGAGCUACGCUGUGCCCUCCAGAUGAGACUGGUUGACAGACAUGGCAUAUUCAAGUGGAUGUGGGGUUGUUCUGGUCCUACUUGAGGCUGGAGUUGCACAUGGAGGGCUUCCUGUAGCUGCCUUGACUGAGAGCCUUCUCUCCUUUCCUGUUCUUCUUCACUGGACACUGCACCACACGAGUUAUUUAUUGAAACACUGGCCACAGAUUAACUCGGCCACUUGUUAAUUAGUGUGGACUCAAUCUCCUGCAGUUUAGAAAGGCUAACUUUCCUUUCUCGAAACUUGCCUUAAAGGAGUUCUGUAACAUGCCCCUUUCUAUGCCGGGCUCUUCAGUAGAAAUUCUGCCUUUGCUGUGUGUACAUGUCUUGGCCUUCCCUCCCAGUGGAUCCGAGCUUGCUGCCCUCCCUGGUGUGCCUUACAAGACCAGUUGAUGUAUAGCACAGCUGAAGUAGCCGGCUGAAGGAAGGAAGUGCUCUGCUGGCUCAGCAGAAGGCAGGCCUCUCUGAAACCUGGUCCCUUUGCUUUUAUCUCAGAGGUGUUUAGUUUCAGAGUGACUGUGAAACUGGGACAGUGUCUGCCAGGGCGGGGAUUCAGACCACCUGAGAAGAGUGGAAGGUGAACAGGGGCAGAGUUCAAGGAGGGGGCCUGGACCUUUUUUUUUUUUUUACAUUUUUACUUUUUUUUUUUAAAUUUACAUUUGGGGAUGUCACAGAUACAUAUGCCCCUGUGCACAUGUUAGAGGACAGCUUUCAUGAAUUGGUUCUUUCUCCGACAUGUGGAUUCCCAGGACCAAACUGAGUUAGUCAGGCUUGGCAGCAAGCAUCUUAACUUGCUGAGCUGUCUCAGCAGCUCAUAGACCUCUUAUUUUUGUAGUCGCUGUAGUGCUGGGAGUCAGACCCAGGACUUUGAGUAUACUAGGCAAGCCUCUAAAACCCCAGGCUCCUAGACCUCGGAGGUAUUCCCUGUCCACCAGAAAAGUGGUGUGGGGUUCUGAGUCUGAGUGCAUGUGUGGCCUCUGGUUAUCUUUCUCUGUCAUUUUCCACCUUAGUUCUUUGAGACAAGCUCUCACUGUCUUAGUUAGGGUUCCUAUUGCUGUGAUGAAGCACCAAAGUGGCCAAAGGCGUCUCGGGGACGGAAGGAAGGGCUUAUGCUCUCAUCACACUCAGAGGUUAGGGGCAGGGAUCCAAGCAGGGCAGGAACCUGAGGCAGGAGCUGAUGCAGAGGCCAUGGUGGAUGCUGCUUCCUGCCUUAUUCCUUAUGGCUCCUCACAGGUGGUUCCACCCGCAGCACAUCAAUCACUAAGACAAUGUCCCAUGGGCCUGCCUUCCCCAGAUCCUGUGGAGACGUUUUCUCAGGUGAGGUCUCCUCCUCUCAGAUGACUAUAACUUGUGUGAAGUUAGCAUAAGAACUAGCCAGGAUGCUCACUGAACCCUGAGCUUGCUAUUUCAACUGCACUGGCUAGCCAUUAAGCCCUCAGAACCUACCUGUUGCUUCCUUACCCACCACAUUGGGCCUGCAAGCCUGUAUGACUGUGUUCAACAUUUCCAUGGGUGAUGAGGAUAUGAUCUCAAGUUCUCAUGGUUGCAUAGCAACCACUUUACCCACUGUGCCAUCUCUACAACUUAUCUGUUUAUCUAAUUUUUUUUUUUCUGAGACAGGAUUUCAUGUUGUCUCAGAAUGAAAACUGUAUAGCUGAGGAUAAUCUAGAACCCCUAAUCCUCCUGCCUCUUCCUCCCAGGUGCCAGAUUAUAGGCACUCCCUGAACCAGGCCUGGUUUAUGGGAUUCUGGGAUCAAACCCAGGGCUUCAUGGAUGCUAGGCUAACACUUAACCAACUGAGCUACAUCUUCAGCUCCACACUAUGUGUGCGCAGUGUUGGGAAUCAAACCCAUGUUUGUGCAUGAUAGACAUGCAUUUUACCAAACAAGUACAUUCCGAGCCUGCCUUUAAUAUAGUGAUUACCUGCCUUCCUACUUCCUGCGUUACCUGAGUUUGCCAGCACCUUCCUUGUCCAACGUUCCUCUUCUGAAACACUGACCCCCGAGUUCCUUCCUGUGUCCUGUCUCUGAACUGUCCCCAUAAGUUGCAUCUUCUGUUUCUGUGUCUCAGCUUUGAUCUGUGUCCCUGAGGUAAGAUGGAUGAAGGUGAGUCCUGAUGAAUGAUCUCCUUACCCUUUAAAUAACUGCAGCUUGGGACCAAGAGACCUAGAGGCCUCUCAGACCUAGAGACCUCUCAGGCCUAGAGACCUCUCAGACCUAGAGACCUCUCAGGCCUAGAGACCUGCUGGUGUGCAGCACACACACCAGCAGAGCAGUAUCGAACCAUCUUUAAAAUUCACUACAUCAGGACCUGGAGAGAUGACUCAGCAGUUAAGAGCUCUUGCUGUUUUUCCAGAGCACCUGAGUUUGGUUCCUAGAACUCACACUGGGCAGCUGUGAGCUGCCCACAACUCUAGCUCCAGGAGAUCCAACACCCUCCUCUGGCCUCCAUGAGCACACACACAUUCAGGGAAUACAGUCACAGAAAUACAUACAUACACAUAAAUAAAAUGCUAAAUUCACAGCACUGGGGGCUGAAGAGAGUUCAGUUGUUAAGACACUGCAGAGGACCCAAGUUCAUUUCCUAGUAUCCAUCUCCAGUGCCUUACAAUAUCACCACCUAUAACUCCUGAUAACCUGAGUUUGAGUCCUGAAACCUAUGAAACGGUGAAGGGAGAAAACUAACUCUGAGAAGUUGUCCUCUGACCUCCACAUACACAUGUAAUACUACUAAUAAAAAAUUAUGUUCUACUGUGGUCUGCCCUUAAAGGGGAGCUGAGCUCCUAUCUCAGAGACCCCAUGAAUAAGGAAGCUUCUAGGUAGCAAAGAAAGCACUCUGAUUCCAAGUCUGUGUAAGCUUGGAGGAUGGAUAACAGAAUGGGAAGCUGUGCCCUCAACCUAACUACUCCCUGUUGAGUGAAGCAGUGGUUUUCAAACUGUGCUGUACCCUGGUCGACCCUUGUUACAAGAAGCAUUUGGCUCCAUUUUUUUUAAUGCAAGAGCAGUGGUAGGAUAGGGCUGUGUCCCAUGAGUGUAGACACUGCCACCUGUGUAGCACCACUCUGGAGGCUCAGAAUGAUAACCAACUUACUUCUAGAGUGAAAAAGAUACCAUCAAAAUAAAUAAAGAGAUGUACUUAAAUUCAGAGGUAUCCUGAACUAGUGGUAUGAUCACGACUGAGUAAAGUUAACCAGGAUGUGCCUGUUAGGGAAUUGUCAAGCCGGAGGUUGAAGUCACUCUGUACAGAGGAAAGUCUUGCUGGGAUCAGGCCAGGGACCAGUUGGACACUGGUGACAGCUGGACAGUGGUUAUAGGAUCUUGGGUCAUCUCUUGAGUCAUGGCUUCUAUAACCUUAUUGUGUAUUUUCAGAGUUACCAGGGAAGUCUACAACUCUGUAAUGCACAGUGGUGACAUCAUUUGUUACUGGCUUAGUUGGCAAAUUAACAUGGUUAUACUUCUUGUGUGGUCAGGAAUAUCUAUGUCCACUAUUCCACAAGCCCACAGCAUGUCUUGGCCAGGAUUUUGGGGUAUCUUUCUGAGGUUUCCUGUAGCUAGGAGGUGCACUUUCCAAGGUGGCUAAGGCAUAGCUAGUCUGAGAUGAUUUAUAAAUAUGUGGAAGUGGGCAUGGUGGCACAUGCUGAGGCAGGAGGAUGUGUGAGUUUGUAGAGUAUGUGCUUAGCAGACCUGGAGCUUGCCUGGGUAACUCAGACUCUAGUUUUGGUGGGAAAGGGCCAGGCUGCCCUGGAGCCCCCAGCAAUCCUCCUGCCUCUAGAGUGGAAGGAUCACAGAUAAGCCACUAUAUCCAGUAAAAUCUCAACUUUAAAUCAAAACAAAAUAAAACAAAACAAAAUGGACCAGAGAGAUGGCUCAUUGGUUAAGAGGACUUGCUGUUCUUACAGAGGAUCCUGGGUUCAGUUCCCAGUACUUAUACGGCAGUUCACAACCAUCUGUAACUCCAGUUCCGGGAGAUCCAACCCAUUUUCUGGCCUCUGCAGGUGCUAAACAUGCAUGUGACACACGUACAUACAUACAAACCAAACAUUCAUACUCAUAAAAUAUAAAUAAAUGAAUCUAAACCAACAACUGAAAGGAAAGGGUAUCAACUCAGAACCCCAAGACCAAGUUUUCUACACAAAGGAUUUAUUUGCCCCAGGGAGACACAGGGAGUAAGAGACAAAACCAGGAGAGGAGAGGAUGAUGAAGGGAAAGAGAACAAAGAAAGGGAUAUUUGUUGGGGACUCUGGGAGGGGAGCUGACCCAAAGGACUGUCUCGGAUAGAGAGGGGAUAGGCUGGCCAAAUAAGGAGAUAGGCCUUGGUGGCUAGAUUCAGGAAUGUCAUCUAAUGUUCUUUAGCAAGGCAGAGGGAGUAGGGGAGGACAAGGCCUGCCAGAGCCAUGUUCGCCAUGCUAGAGUCAGCUAGAGUCCCUUCAACCAGGUAUGGCCAUUCCUCUAAUCCAGCACUUGGGAGGCUGUCUUAGGAGGAUCGUAAGUUUGAAGCCAACCUGCACUGCACAGAGAGUUCUAGGGGUACCUAGGUUAUAUAAUGUGCCCCUUCCUCAUUACACCCCCAAAGACAUGUGGAUACCCAGAUCUUUUUCUUCUGUUUUUAUAUUCAGUUAUAACAUGUACACACGGACACACGCUCACACAUGCACAUAGGCACAUAUGUGCACAUAUGUACACACACAUACGUGGAUGCUUUACUUUGAGAUUCUUAUUUAUUUGUGUGUGUGUGUGUGUGUGUGUGUGUGUGUGUGUGUGUGUGUGUGUGUGUGUUUGUGUGGCAGGGGUGGGUGCAGUGGGGUGGGGAGAACGUAUGCCAAAUGAGACUGGAAUGAGGAUGUAGGACCCCCUGGCAAUGGAGUUGGAGAUGGUUGUGAUCUGUCAUGGGACUGGGAAUCAAACCUGGUUCUCUAGAGCAGCAGCUAGUACUCUCCACUCCAGCCCCUACCUUAAUUCUUUUUUUUUUAAAUAGGGUCUCAUUGUGUACCCUGGAUAACGUUGAACUCAUAGAGAUCAGCCUGUCUCUGCUCCCUGGGUGCUGAGAUUAAAUAGAUGAACCACUGUGCCUGGUUAGACUUGUUCUUUUAGACUAGUGUUAGGCUUGUGACAGAUUGAGCAGACUCAUGUGGCAUGAUGGUGUAUACCUGUAGUCCCAGAACUCAGGAGGAUGAGUUCAAGGCUGGCCUCCAUCAAAGAAGAGUUCUAUGAUCAACUCCUGUGUGUGGUGUGUUACAUUACUGAUAACUUAUUAGUAAUUAAAGUUCAACAUGGCAGAAUUCUCAGAAGUUCACUCUGGACUGUACAGUUACUUGGGUUUGGAAAACCCGUGCCCUGUCUACCCACACACAGUAGUUUGACUGUCUCUAGAUGUUUCCUGGCUCCAUGUAGUUGUCCCUCCCUCUAGCCCCUGGCAACCACUGAACUUUUGUCUCUGUAGCUUUUCAUUUCUGAAAAUGCCGUCUAGAUGGAAUCAGAGUGCGUAGCCACUAAGCCAAACUAAGCCAGGAGGGGCCUUCAUGACCAUGGCCUCACUUCAGUUCCUGCCUUCCGGUCCCACCUGAGUUCCUACCCUGACUUCCCUUUACCCCGAGCUGCGUUGCUUUUGGUCUUAAUGAUGGUUAUCACAGCGAGGAGAGCAAACUGGAGCGUGCAGCUUCUUGGGAUUGAACUUGGGUCACCAGUUCUGUUCAGUAUCUUUGCCGAUUGCUGAGCUAUCUCACUUGUCUGUCUGUCUGUCUCACUAUGAAGCUUUGACUGACCUUGAACUCACAGAUCUGCCUGGCCUGCCUCUGCCUCCACAGUGCUGGAGUUAAAGAUGUCUAUUUCUUAAGGACAUCUUGUUUUUAGGUUUUGGUGAUUUGAACAAAGCUGAUAUGAACACUGGUUCUUAUAAAGGCUUUUGUGUGAAUAUAGGUUUUCAGUUUGUUUGGGGAGUAGGGAUGUGCAUUCUGGGUUAUAUGCUAAAAUUACGUUUAGCUUUGUGAAAAACUGCCAAACUGUCUUCCAAAGCGACUGCAUCAUUUUGCAUCCCAGCCAGCAGUGACCGAGAGCCUCUGUUUUAUAUCCUCACUAGCACUCAUUGUUGAUGGUGUUUUAGCCUCUUUAGUGGGUGGGGGAUAAUCUACACAGUAUUGUUUUAACUUGCAAUUCUCUAAUGAAAUACAUUCCGUCUGCACACCUCAGUGUGAAAUACGGUACUGAGCAUCUCUUCCGCCUGCACACCUUAGCAUGACAGACUUUUACAUUUGUCUUUGUCCCUCUCCCCUCUUCUUAGGCCCACUUUGUCUCUAUAUACUCCUCUCACUUCACAAAUCCACAAGUUGGUCUUGUGUUUUCUGGCAUAUUUUCCUUUGUCUCUUGGAGCCUAACGAGUUGCCGUCCAUGAGAAGUGACUGGCCUGCUCUGUUGAAGUCUCAACCCAUCUUAGACUCUCUCUGUCUCAGUUGAACCAUUACAAAAAAGACAAAAUCUACAACUUGCCGGGCCUGGCCUUUUCCUGUCCCGCCCUUUAUUGUUCUCAGAGUUGGAAACUGGAGGGAGGACCCAUAACCCUCCUACCUUUGUUUGUGAUCCUUUAUUCUGACCCGAAAACAGUUGGGAGUGACUGCUGCCCCAGCUCCACGUGAGUCUGUGUGGAGACCUAACUUCUUCCACGGCCUCUCCGCCCCUUGGCUGACUGUUGCCAACCUCACCUUGCCUCUCCGCCCCUUGGCUGACUGUUGCCAACCUCACCUUGCCGCCUGCCCGCUGCUACAGCCUGAGAACUCACAUUUGCCUGUGAAGAAAGCAUCUGCUGUUCGUUCAUUGCCCUGUCACCUUGCCUGUGUUCAUCUUGCCCACUCUAGGCACAGAGUCCAGAGAACAUCGUACUCGCUGAGCCCUUGCUCACUUUUCAGUUAAUACUGACAUCUUUUAAACUGUAGCCCAGGCCUCAGCUUGCUGUGUAGCUAUGGCUGUCCAUGAAUUCCAGAUCUUCCUGCCUUCCUGUCCAUGAGAUGGCCUUAGGAUUUGAACCACCUUGCCUGAGUGUUAUUGUUAUUAUUAUUAUUUACUUUUGUUUUAAGACAAGGCCUUGGUUAUAUACCCUAGUGUGAUGGUUGUUCUUGGUUGCCAAGUGACUACAUCUGGAGUGCACUUGUGAGGGAUUUUUUUUUCUAGUUAAAUCAUUCGAAGUGGGAAGCCUGCCUUUAGUCUGGGUCUAGUGAGGUGGGAAGCCCGCCUUUAGUCUGGGUCUAGUGAGGUGGGAAGCCUGCCUUUAGUCUGGGUCUAGUGAGGUGGGAAGCCUGCCUUUAGUCUGGGUCUAGUGAGGUGGGAAGCCCGCCUUUAGUCUGGGUCUGGUGAGGUGGGAAGCCGCCUUUAGUCUGGGUCUAGUGAGGUGGGAAGCCCGCCUUUAGUCUGGGUCUGGUGAGGUGGGAAGCCGCCUUUAGUCUGGGUCUGGUGAGGUGGGAAGCCCGCCUUUAGUCUGGGUCUGGUGAGGUGGGAGCCCGUAUGAAGGACUUGGGGAGAGAAGCUUUGCUCUUUGCCCACUUCCUCUCACUCUCACUGGAGAGUCCACUCCAUCCUGGAAUGUGAUGAAGAAGAUGGAGACCCUUCUUAUCUUCUUUUUUAAUGUUUUAUAGUCUUUAUUUAAAAAUUACCUAUUUUAUGUGCUUUUGUGUUUUACCUGCAUGUAUGUCUGUGUGAGAGUGUUGGGAUCCCCUGGAACUGUGGUUAUAGACAGCUAUGAACUACCAUGUGGGUACUGGGAACUGAACCCAGGUCCUCUGGAAGAGCAGCCAUCUCUCCAGCCACUAAAGCUUACUUCUUUACGAUUCCGGAGUAAACUGAAGACCAGCUAAGACAUCCAGCCUCUUGGACUGAACAACUACUGGAUUCUUGGACUUUCUGUUGGUAGAUAGCCAUUGUUGGACUAGCUGGAUUAUUAAAACUACUCUAAUAAACCUCUCUCUCUCUCUCUCUCUCUCUCUCUCUCUCUCUCUCUCUCUCUCUCUCUCUCUCUCUCUCUGUCUUCUAGAGAAUUAUGACAAGUACACCCAGGCUAUCCUUGACGUUUAGAAAUCCUCAUGCAUUGGCCUCCAAGUGCUAGUAUUACACGCAUGGUCUGUUUGCUCCUAGAAUGUUUAAACAAAAUCAUAAAUGUACUUUCAUGCUUGGUUGUAGCAAUGAUAUGUUGAUCAUGUCAUUUUUCCCUUUAAAAGGUCAGUCUUAGGCUGAACAUGGUAGUAUGUGACUGUAAUCCCAGCACUUGGGAAGCAGAGUCACAAGGAUCACAAAUUUGUAGCCUAUAUUUAAAUAAAAAAUUUAUAAAUGUGUUUAUUUGCAUGUAUGUGUGUUCUUGUAGUGACUCUGGGUGCCCAAGAGGCCAAAAGAUGGAGUUACAGGCUGUUGUGAGCCUGAUGUGGGCACUAGAAACUGACCCUGAUCGUCUGCAAGAGCAGCAAGUGCUCCUAACCGCUGAGCUUUCUCUCGGGAUCCUUGUGUCCAGAAUACACAGAGUAUUCACAGAGUACACACAAAUGCCAUGGUGGGUAAGUCUAGCUGCUGAGAUAAAUAGGCUGCAUUCUAGGCCAGGCUCGUUAGUUUUCUAUGGUACACAGAAGUCAAGCGACGGGAGGCUUGGUGUUCGGCUUAGAAGAAAGAAUGAUCUUUCUGACACAGGUCUGCAGGUGAUGGGUUGCUAGGCCCAGCGGAUUUCUACCCAGCAUGAAUCUUGAGAUGUCUUUGGAGGACCGGCAUUUCUUCACUGUAUAGGGCGCCACUGCUGGGCAGGCUCUGGGCCUGAGGUUUGUGGUAAUAAACGACACCCAAUCCUGCACUUCACCGCCUGCCAUGGCAAGUCUCUUUAUAGGAGGUGGGCUUGAUACCACUUCAGAGCCUUCGGUCCUCAUGGUGCCUGACUAUCUCUUCUUGUAGAGUUCAUGCCUUAGGCCUUGUGGAGAAGGAAUCCAGAGGCUUAGAAAUGUGGUCAGCCUAUAUUGGAGGUGAGGCCAGUUGGCCAUUUGACAGUGAGGACUUGGGUUCAUAGCGGCUUCCUAGAAAGUGGAGUGCUCUAGUCUCUAGACUUCUAAUGUAACCCUCAAAGGUCCUUCUUUUCCUAGUCCCCUUCUUUAGGGGUCACAAACCUGCUCAUAGAACCAGCCUCAGAAAGACCACUCAAAUCAAAGGGCUGUUCGUGAUCUCCAGAGCUGACUUUCAUGUGAUACCCAGUGCUGCUGGGAGCCCUGCCUUCCAGGGCGUGAGGUCAGAGCUCAGGGCUCACAGCUGUGAGGUAUACGACUUCUGGAGAAGGGGGUCUGCCUCUGGGUUCAGGUCCGUCUAGCUGGCUGGCUCCACUUCUGCUAGCUGCAGAUAGGACUCCUAUGCACCUCUGAAGGCUUAGCUCCUAGACAGAGAAAAUUAGUGAAAGUUGACAGGCGACAUCACAACGUGCUCAAACUCUGUCUCCUUCCUGCUCCAGCAUCUCCAAGAUCAGGUUGCAGAUGCCGGAUCCCCUCCCUUGUCUGAACACUUCAUUCUUGUAACCAGGGCUUUUACAUAGAGAAGAGACCAGAAGAAGGCAGCAGCUGGGCCUUUGGAGGUAGAAAUUUCUAGAAAUGUUGGUGAUGUGGGCCUGUGAGUUUUGGGCUAGGUCUUUGACCAGGGACAGCAUCCAUAGCAUGUCUUGUAGUUAUGUCUCUGCUCAGAACCAGCCUGUUGCACUUGAGGAAAAGCCAUGGGCAUCCGUAGUCGUUAUGGUCCAGCACCUCUUCCUCUUCCUCUGCCACUCUUGCCCUUCCUCACUCUGCUCCCUGCUCUCUCCUCUAUCUAAAGGCCUUUGCACUUGCCUGGGCAAACCUGGAGUGCUCUGCCUACGACAGUCUCACCCCUGACUCCUGCACUCCUUAGGUCUUCUCAAGUAGUAAGGCCUUCUCUAACUGCCUCUUUCCUUUCUUCUCUCUCUUCUCCUCCCCUCCCUCCUCCCCUCCCUCCUCCAUCCCACCUUUCUUUUUUCCUUAACCUUCCCUUUCUGUCUUUCUGCCUGUCUGCCUGCCUGCCUGUCUUUCUUCUCUCUCUCUCUCUCUCUCUCUCUCUCUCUCUCUCUCUCUCUUCUUUCUUUCUUUCUUUCUUUCUUUCUUUCUUUCUUUCUUUCUUUCCUUUGAGACUGGGUCUCACUGUAUAGACCAGGCUGGGUUGAACUCACAGAGAUCCAAAUGCACAUAUAUAAACAUACUUUAUACAUUGGUGUUUCCCUGAUGACUCUAGUAUGUGCUAAAUGAGUCAGUUGGAGACAGUUUUCACUCCAUGGGUCCGGCUCUUAGCUCCAGAGGGAAGGAGAAUGCCUCAGCAUGAUGCCUGGCUCUGAGCCCAGGUGAAGGCAUUUCUUCCAUUCAGGUCCCCAUUCUGGGGAUCAUGUCAAGCCUUUCUCUGGGAGUGGUGUGUGAUGUGGAUCAAGUCUAACUUGGCUUGAGUGAAGGACUGAGUGCUGUACACAGUAUUGGGAAGCUCUUCAUUUUGUUCCUCAAAUUCCCAGGCCCAUUAUUGAGAGGUCUGUGUUCUGCUCAGUGCAGGAGUGCCCUGGAGUAUAAGACAGGCAGGGUUUCUGCUUCCCUGAGUCUUAAAUUCUUACGGGAAGACAAAUGAAAAUGUAUUUAUAGUUUUAAAGAGUCCAGGUGCCAGGCUGAAUAUUGAGUUGGGGAUGGAGUAUUAGAGAGUACUAGAUAUUAUAAAGUGAGCAGAGAGGGAGAGGGUUCAUUUCACAGUGACCAGUAUUGGUUUGUAUGAAGUUUUGAAUUGGUUUGUAUGAGGCCUUGAGCCAAGACGGUCAUGUUGUACAACUCUAGGGACACUGAUCAGACUGUUCUGCAGUGGGUGCUCCCUGGAGGUAAGGUGCUUAGAGCCCUGGCCAUCCAACUAUGUGACAGUUGAAGCAGGAGGGACCCUGAGGCCUUUUAGGUACAGAAGGAAGGUCAGGGUGGGACAGGAUGAGCAUGCAGUCUGCAGGCAGUGUGAGAAGAGAAAUGUGACUGUUAGCACUGGAGAGAUGGCUCAGGGGUUAAGAACACUUGGGUCUGGUUCCUACCACCCAAUCAGUGGUAGCUAAAAACCUCCUGGGACUCCAGCUCAAGAGGAUCUAUUGCCCUCUUCUGGCCUCUUUGGGUACCUAGGCAAACACAUGGUACACAUACAUACAUGCAGGCAAAACACCCCUGUAUACAUAAAAUAAAAAUAAAAGCUUCCAAAAGAAUGUGACAGUCAGGACAACCAUUCAUAACCCAGUUCCCGAGGAUCCAGUGCCUUCCUUCCACUGACCCCCAGUACCAGAUACAAACAUGGUGUGUGUACAUACAUACACACAUAGAAAAUAUUAAAGUCUAAAAAAGUUAAUUAAAAUUAAGUUUGAUUUUGAAAAAGGACUGGCAGUGAAUUCAUGGGUGACAGACAUAGGGAACACAGGUAUAUAGGGAAACUUUCCUGGAGGCAGGGCUCUGCCCUAGUGUGAGGGUUGCAGAGAUGAGGUGACUGAUGGCUGCAAGAGUGGCCCCAGGGUAGCAUCAGAAAGGUACUUGGACCUAGCUUUGACAGUAAGAAGAAAGCUCAUGACACUUGGAUAUUGCUCGUUUGUUGUUUGAUAUCAAGGUCUGGUCAUCUCUGAAACCAUGGGCGUGUCAUCAUGCACAUGCUCAACCUUGACAUGAUGUACCUGCCCCAUGCAUACACACACACACACACACACACACACACACACACACACACACACACACACACAGAACAGCCUUGCCCUGGGGGAGCUGAGAUGCUAAGAAGAUUGUGUCUUGAAUUACCUGCUUCAGGUGUCUGGAGGCACCUGGCUGCUCAAAGUCUUGGGAGGCAGUGGGUGGACAAAAGGCCCCUGGGCAGACCUCAGCAAGCCUUGAGCUAUACACCUGUGUGAGAGAGGCGCGCUUCCCGAAUCAGACUGUGACUUAACCAUCAUCGGCCCGGCUCGCCUUCUUUUUUUAAAGGUUUUGUGAGGUUGUUGACUUAAGCCAGAAUGAGGAAUGGUAGCUGUUGGGGUUCUGUUAUCUUUAUUUUUUUUUCAAUUUUCUUUUUUCUUUAUUUGUUUGCUUGUGUGUUUGUUUAUUGGGGUUUUUGUUUUGUUUUGUUUUGUUUUGUUUUUUGAGACAGAGUUUCUCUGUGUAGUCCUACCUGUCUGGAACUCUGUAGACCAGGGUAGCUGGCCUAGAACUCAGAGAUCCUCCUGCCUCUGCCUCCCAAGUGCUGGGCCUAAAGGCAUGCAUGCACAACCAUACCUGGCUUCAUGUUAGAGUUCUUAAUAGCUUGCUCAGUGGCUUGGGAUUUCCCUGGGUCUGACUGCCUGUCCUCUGGAGGUGGCUGGAACUAGAGGGAACAAGCCCUAGCAGACCUCCCAUGGGGAAUGGGGGGCAGUUGAUUGAGCCCCCACUGCUCUCCAGGAAGGCUCUGCUGCUCCUGGCCUUUAUUUUUCUUAAAUUCCAUGUCUUGGCUGGGAAGCUCUUUGUUCACUGAAGCCCAGAGCAGAGUUAAGCUGCUAAAGUAUUGAGAGCAGGAGGGUUUGUCUGCCUGGAUUCUUAGCCAAAUCUGUCCUGGGAGCUACUGUUUUUAAACCCGAGGAAUGCUGUGGGAAUGUGGUCCUUGGCUUCUAGCAAGAUGUCUCAGGAAAGGGCUACCCCAGUGAGGCAGAUGGAUGCCAUGAAUCAGAUUGGACAGGGUGUAACAGAAAGUGAGCAUGUGACACUUGCUGUUAGCUCUCUCUUAGCUCUAGAGCGAGCAUGCUCUCUGUGAUCCCACCUCAGUUCUUUCUCCACCUUGCUAGGAACUGAGCCCAGGACAAUCUGCAGUCUCAGCCUCUGGCCCUAGGAUGAUGGGUUUUCUUUUUUUCCUACCUAACCCCUCUUUGCCAUCCCACUUCCCUUUUUAACUUUUUGUUUUUUUGAGACAGGGUCUCACAUAGCCCAGGCUGUCCUUGAAUUUGCUAGCUGAAGGUAACCUUGAAGCUCCUGAUCUUCCUGCCUUUACUUCCCUAAAUGCUAGAAUUAUAAGUUCAUGACACCAUACCAGCUCCCAUCUCUUUUUAUAAAGGUUAUAGAAAGUGGUUUAAUAUAACUCAGAGUUUUAAAGAAGUCUUAAUUCUGGAAGAAUAUUGCCAUAUAAACAUAUCUUAAAAUUUUUCAGGUUCUUUAUUUUAUUUUAUUUUAUUGCUGUUUUACUACCCAGUAUAAUAAUACUGAUGUCACCAACACUUUCCAAUUGGCUAAUGAUGUUAUCAGUAAUUCUGAGUAGUUCACGAUGAGAAUGUCCCCUCUGCUUAUUCAGUAAUUAUUUACGGAAUUCCACCAUUGUGCUGAUGUCAGAGAACAGUAGUAAUCAAUGAGUCUCAGGCCAAGUUUGAGGGCUCUGGGAGGGAUCCACAGCCAGGAAAUUAGACACAAGUAGAAACUGGCCAGUGGUUCUUGAAGGACUGUGUCUACAGAGCCUCAGAGUUCCUCACACACCUGAGGUGAGAGACAGUGGGGACAGGUGACUUCCAGCUGGCUCUAAGAUAGGCCGAAGGUGUUCUCUGCCUGAGGUUGAAAGUCUAUCACUGCGUGGAGAAUGCCCUUAUCUGUGUGUGGAGGAGGAACCUGGGACACAUGGCAUUUGCCCGAGGGCCACAAGAAGGUGGUAGAGUGGAGCUGGUGUCAGUUCAUUGGUCCUCCCAGCCUGGGCUUGUGCUGUUUCUUAUCCAGUCUCGCACUGGGAUCCUGGAGUUGGGUGGCUUUAGAGUCCACCCUGCGGCAUCCCUGGGCUAAGCAAGUUGACAGGGAGACUGUUGGGUGAUGUCCUCACUGUCCAGCUUCUUUCUUGCUACUGGCAGACUUGCCAUUCUACCUCAGCUGUCCUGGAACUCACUUUGUAGACAAGGCUAGCCUGAAACUCACAGAGAUCCACCUGCCUCUGCCUCUGCCUCUGCCUCUGCCUCUGCCUCUGCCUCUGCCUCUCUGCCUCUCUGCCUCUCUGCCUCUCUCUGCCUCUCUGCCUCUCUCUGCCCCUCUCUGCCCCUCUCUGCCUCUCUCUGCCUCUCUCUGCCUCUCUCUGCCCCUCUCUGCCCCUCUCUGCCCCUCUCUGCCCCUCUCUGCCCCUCUCUGCCCCUCUCUGCCCCUCUCUGCCCCUCUCUGCCCCUCUCUGCCCCUCUCUGCCCCUCUCUGCCCCUCUCUGCCCCUCUCUGCCCCUCUGCCCCUCUGCCCCUCUGCCUCUGCCUCUGCCUCUGCGCUGGGAUUAAAGGUUUACACCAUCAUGUCCAGCAGCUGUUGAGCUGUUUAAUUUGAUAUUACAUUUCUGUAUUUAUCUAUUUAGUGCGAGUGAGUCCAUCUCUUUGAGAGGUGUCUUCCUGCAUCAGCUUCUUAGUAGCUAACAGUGAGGUGACACAUUACAGCCAGCUACAGGCAUUUUUGAUAAAUUUGUUGGUUUUUGCAUCAUGGUUUUUGUUGUUGUUUUAUUUUGUUUUGUUUUCUGAGACAAGGUUUUGUUCUGUGUAGUCCAGUCUGUCCUGGAACUCCCUUUGCAGACCAGCCUGGUCUGAAAUCCAGGAAUCUGCCUGUCUUUGUGCUGUUUCCCCCACCCCCCAAGUGCUGGGAUUAAAGGUGUGUAUGCUUGCCUUGCUUCAUGGUUGUUUUUAAUGCCCAUUCAUUUAUGGUAAAAUAUUCAUGAUAUGAAAAUCACCAUUGCCAGCAUGUUUAGGUAUAGUUUAGUGAAAUUAAGUUUUACAUUAGUGUACGGCCAUUACUACUUUCAGUUUCUGGAACUUUUUAAUUUUCCCAGUUGAAACUAGACCCUUUCAAAAUGAUAGUUUCCCAUUCUUCAUGUCUCCAAACACCUAGAAAGCCGGGUUCUACUUUCUGUGUGACUCUGACUGCAGCUGCCUAAGUUGAUGCAGGUGGUUGCUCCCAGUGUCAGGUGUAUUUCACUUAGUGUGAUGUCUUCAAGAUUCAUCCAUGUCAUGUGGGUGAGGAUCUGUGUGUGUGUGCGUGCUUGUGUUUGAGACAGAGUUUCAUACAACACAGGCUGGCCACAAAGAUGACAGUGUGGCCCAGGGUCGUCUGACUCCCGCUUCCACCUCCCAAGGGCUGGGAAUUUAAGGAUGUGCACGGUGCCUGCUUUUCCUUUUCGAAGGACAGAUACCAGUCGACUGUUUCCUGUCUGCCCUUCCUACCUCCUCACCUGGCAGUAGGCUCUCCGGUUCCUGUGCUGUUUGUGACCCCUUCAGCACUGUGGUGAGGGAUGCUGCUGUCAACAAGGCUCUUCAAGACCUAUUUUCAGGCUUUUGUGUAGCUACCGAGAGAUAGGAUUCCUGGCUCAUUGCAGUAAUUCUCUCUCAUUUUUUGAAAACAACCAUCAUGUUUUCUAUAGCAGCUGCAUUGCCACCAGCCAUCCAUGAAAGUCCCAACUUCAUGACCAUUUGACUUGAUGAGGCACCAUUUACAUUUCACCUGAUGUUAACAGUAGAGGUUCUACUGUGGGGCCUGGCUCCUCCUCCUCUGGUGGAGGCACAGAGAGCCCUUUGCUUCUCAGUGCUCACAGCAGUCAGCUUCCUGCUGUCUCUGGCCUUUAGUCAUGGCGGUGUCCUAAUGAAGCACCAGACCUUAUAUAAGCCCCUACUUAUAGAACAGCGGGAGUUUUUCUAAUUUUUUGUUUUGUUUUAUAAAUACUGCUGAAUAUGUUUAUGCCAAAGGCUUUUUUCUAAGAUAGUUCCCUUAUGGUGAGUCCCCAGAACUAGUCACUGCUACUGUGAGUGAUAGCCAGUGCUGCUACUGUGAGUGAUAGCCAGUGCUGCUACUGUGAAUGAUCGCCAGUACUGCUACUGUGAAUGAUAGCCAGUACUGCUACUGUGAGUGAUAGCCAGUACUUGGCUUUCCUUGCUGUGUUCAGGUGUUGUUCGAAGCAUUUGACUCUGUGUAUUUUGCGUGAAUUAAGUAGCUUUCUAGAAGUUUUUUUUUUUUUCUUUUCCUAGACAAAGUCUCUCUAUACUAUGGAUUUGAUAGGAUGCUUCCCUUCCAAAACUAUUCCUCAAGAGGUUUGUCCUUAGGGCUUGUUGUGUGGAUGCUCUGAGCCACAGCCUCGUGAGUGUAUAGCGCGCACGUGUUGCUAAUUGCCUGGCCAUCUCACCAGCCCACCCCUUUUUCUUUUUAUAUUUAAAAAAAUUAUGUGUAUGGAUGUUUUGCAUUCAUUUAUGUAAAUGUACUUUGUGUAUGCAUGGUGCCUGCAAAGGUCAGAGGAGUUCCACUGGAACUGGAGUUACAGAUGGUUGUAAGCCACCGUGUGCUUGCUGGGGACUGAAUCUGUGUCCUGGGAAAGAAUAAGAAGUACUCUUCACUACUGAGCCAUCUCUCUAGCUUUUUUUUUCUUUUUCUUUUUCUUUUUUCCGGAGCUGGGGACCAAACCCAGGGCCUUGCGCUUGCUAGGCAAGCGCUCUACCACUGAGCUAAAUCCCCAACCCCCAUCUUUUUCUUUCCCCUUCCCCCCAGCUUUUUUUUUUUAGAAAGAUUUAUUUAUUUAUUUAUUAUAUAUAACACUGUAGUUGCCUUCAAACACACCAGAAGAUCCCAUUACAGAUGGUUGUGAGCCACCAUGUGGUUGCUGGGAAUUGAACUCAAGACCUCUGGAAGAACAGACAGUGCUCUUAACCACUGAGCCAUCUCUCCAGCUCACUUGUCCAGCUUUUUAAAUCAUGGUUUUGACUACCAGUGUUUAUCUUUUCUGACAGAGGAAUCUGACUCUCAUUACCCUCACUAUAUUAACACUUGGGUAGUUUGAGGAUUACUAACCUAUACUAACUAAUGUAACAAUAAACCAGCUCCCUAGAGUUUACCCUUUGCUUUCUGUUCUCUUUCCCCUGGAAAUACAUGGCCAAUAAAUUGUAUCCAAAGCUUACUUAGUUGACUGUCUUCAUGGUGGUUUGGGCUCAUUUGAGACAGUGAGAGUCACUAAUUGCUUGCUUUGACUAUGGGAAGAUACUAGAGUGACUGCAGUUAUAACUACAGGAAAAGUAAACAAACCAACCAACACAAAAUACUGUUGCUCUAGCCCUUGCCAUCUGAGUCACACUGCCCUGGUAGGCAUCUCGUCUUCUUUCCAGGUUAUCCUUCCUGUGUGGCUUCACAUAAAUGAAUAGUGUUGUUUGCUUUUUUCCACAUAACAAUGUUGCAUCAGUUUGGUUUUGUUUGGAUUUUUUUUUUUAAAUUAUAAGCUCUUUAUAGAGCUGACCUCAUUAUCAAUACCAUCAUCACGUUGAGUGUCUUGUGUGUCAAGACUCAUACUGGGUUCGGAGCUGCAAAAGGAUUCACGUUUUUACUUAUUGUUCAUGCCUUUGUUCACUAGUUGGACAAAGCACAAGCACUAUUAUUUUUAAUUUUUAAAUUAGACUUGUUUAUCAUUGAUAUUUCUUAAUGUUUGUUUUGCCUACAUGAAUGCAUAUGUGUGCCUAGUGCCCUCAGAGGUUGGGAAAAAGGACAACAGAUCUCCUGGAAAUGAAACUACAGAUGAUUGUGAAUCCCCAUGUGGUUGCUGGGAAUCAAACCCAGAUCCUCUGGAAGAGUAGCCUGUGCUCUUAACUAACUGAGCCAUCUCUCCAGACCCACUAUUGAAGAAAGAAAGAAGGGGGAUUAGGGAUUUAGCUCAGUGGUAGAGCGCUUAAGUCCCUGAGUUCGGUCCCAGCUCUGAAAAAAAAAGAAAAAGAAAGAAAGAAAAGAAAAAGAAAGAAAGAAAGAAGGACCCUUGGUGUUCUCAGAGACUGAACCACCAACCAAAGAACACACACAGGCUGGAGCAAGGCCUCCCUCACAUAUGUAGCAGAUGUGCAGCUUGGUCUUCAUGUGGGUCCUGUCCCUAAAGCUGUUGCCUGUCUGGAAUACAUUCCCUACCUGGGCUACCUUGUCUAAGCUAGCUUCAGUGGGAGAGGAUGCACCUAACCAUGCAGAGACUUGAUGUGCCAGGGUGGGAGGGGUAGAAGAGAGGGGCUCCACCCUCUCAGAGGAAGAUGGGAGAGAGGCUGAAGGGAGGGACUGUGUGUGGAGAGGAUGGGGAGGGGGCAGUGAUUGGGAUGUAAAGUGAAUUAAAAAAAAAAAGAAAAUAUACUUUAUUAAUUCCACAAUAAUAAUAGUUUCACACAUGUAAACACUGUUUCCUGAUCAUACCUACCUUCAGCACCUUUCCUCCAUGCCCCAGGCUCCCCAGCACACCCCUGUCCCUUUCCUGUCCCAUCCCUUUAAGGUUUUUGUUUUUAAGCAUCUACUGGGUCCAAUUAGUCCUGACUGUUGGUGUGCUGCUGGUCUUGCUGGCUUACCGUGCAGGCGAGGUGGUGUGGUGUUGUGUCUUGAGACAGUUUCUCAGGAGGCCUGGGCGGCCUCCCACUUGCUAAGGUCAGACUCAGCUUCAGGGAAUGGGGGCUCCAUGCGUGCUUAAGUCUGCUGCUUUGUGAGCACCUCCUAGCGAGCUGUCUGUGGUGUCAGCCCCAGGAGAUUAGUGCCUCUCGCCUCCUUGUACACUCGUGUGUGUGCAUACAGCUCUUAAGACGCAGGGUGGCUCCAUGGUUAGGUGUAUUUGCUGUUCUUCCAGCAGAUUCUUGUUUGGUUCCAAGCACCCACACUGGUGUGGUUUAUGACUGCCUGUAACUCUGUCUCAAGGGGGAUCUGACACCUCUCUUCCCAUGGUCAUUUGCGCUCGUGCACACAGACAUACACAUAUCCAUAAUUAAAGUAAAUCUUUUUUUAAAAAAGGGGGGGUGGUAGUGCUGGAGAGAUGGCUCAGCGGUUAAGAGCACUGACUGCUCUUCCAGGGUCCUGAGUUCAAACCCCAGCAACCACAUGGUGGCUCACAACCAUCUGUAAUGGGAUCUGAUGCCCUCUUCUGGUGUGUCUGAGGACAGUGACAGUGUACUUAUAUACAUGAAAUAAAUAAAUCUAAAAAAAAAAAAAAAAAAAAAGAUUGACCUUCAACUUCUGAGUCCCUGCUUUCUACAUUCUUUCUUUUUUUUUUUUUUGGUUCUUUUUUUCGGAGCUGGGGACCGAACCCAGGGCCUUGCGCUUCCUAGGUAAGCGCUCUACCACUGAGCUAAAUCCCCAGCCCCUCUACAUUCUUUCUUAUAGCUGCAGAUACAUAAAUGAGCUUUUAGGGAGUUUGUAGUAGUUUGAAGGUACAAUUUUUGGAGGUAGUGAACAUGUAUGUAUCUUUGUUAAGGUGCUAAAUGCCCCUCCUUAAUAACUGUACUAAUUGUGCUCUCACCCUGUGAGAACUCCUCUUUGCUGUAACCUCACCAACAAAGUGUAGCAAUUACCUGCUAAUGCCGGCUAAUCUGAGGGAGGGACAGGUGUGAGUUUGCUCCCAUCUAUGCCUCUCAUUUUGAGUAAGGUUGAGCGUUUUAUCACAUGCUUGUGAGGCAUGCACCCUCAUACACUGGUUCAUGGGGGUACAUUCUAACAAGUGUAUCACUGGGCCCUGCUGUUGUUUUAUGAACAUCAUGGCGUCUUCUUACAAAUCUAUAUGGUAUAACCUGACGGCACAGCCAUAUGGCAUAGCCUGUCACUCUUUGGCUACAAGCCUAUAUAGCAUGUUAAUAUCGGAUGUUUAGUGUCACCGUUUCUGAAAAUAAAUAAAUCAUAAAGAAGAUAUAAUAAAAAUGAGGCAUAAAAGGAUUUUCAAUAGGACUGGUUGGAGGCUCAAUGGUAAGAGACCAUCUGAGAGCCUGACGGCCUGGGUCCAUGUGAAAGGAGAGAAACUGCUCCUGCAGGUUGCUUUUCAAUAGUCCCAUUUGUGCAAGGGCAUGUGGUCCCUUCCAUCCCUAUACACAUGCACUCACACAUGUGAAGAAAUCUUAUGCCUAUAGGACACUCCCACAUCCAGGACUAGAGGUUGCUCUGGCUGAGUCUGCUGAGUGUCUAUGGGGCCCUAAGACACUGUGGUGCACUACGUUAGACUUUAUAAACAUUGACACAUAACCCC
Non-coding RNA from Rattus norvegicus (Norway rat), 25157 nucleotides. NCBI's taxonomy places the organism in Eukaryota, Metazoa, Chordata, Mammalia, Rodentia, Muridae. The record is from RefSeq and is a predicted model, not a curated record.